This 303-nucleotide ribosomal RNA is filed under the name Triticum aestivum (bread wheat). RNAcentral describes it as "partial small subunit ribosomal RNA". Lineage: Eukaryota; Viridiplantae; Streptophyta; Magnoliopsida; Poales; Poaceae. The record is from RNAcentral.
AUGUCGGGCCAGGUGUUCGUCUUUGGCGGCGCUGACUCGACUAGUCACCUCGGCCAGGUCAAGACCUACACUCCAAGAAAAUCACCAGGUUUGGCAACCUGGAGCACUCUGCGGACUCCGCGGAGAGCUAAUCCUCCAUGGUUUGGUGUCACACAAGGUCCAAGAGCAGCAGGACCCGGUUCUCUCAGACUCGAUGUCAGGUCGGAUCCAGGAUCCACCAGAAGAAGUGGAACUUCUCAACCCAUCUCAUCAUCGCCAAUGCCGAUGAAGUAUCUCACCGGAAGAAGUCGGAUUCUAUUCUGA